GUGGGGAAUUUUGGACAAUGGGCGCAAGCCUGAUCCAGCCAUUCCGCGUGCAGGAUGAAGGCCUUCGGGUUGUAAACUGCUUUUGUACGGAACGAAAAGCCUCUGGUUAAUACCCGGGGGUCAUGACGGUACCGUAAGAAUAAGCACCGGCUAACUACGUGCCAGCAGCCGCGGUAAUACGUAGGGUGCGAGCGUUAAUCGGAAUUACUGGGCGUAAAGCGUGCGCAGGCGGUGAUGUAAGACAGUUGUGAAAUACCCGGGCUCAACCUGGGAACUGCAUCUGUGACUGCAUUGCUGGAGUGCGGCAGAGGGGGAUGGAAUUCCGCGUGUAGCAGUGAAAUGCGUAGAUAUGCGGAGGAACACCGAUGGCGAAGGCAAUCCCCUGGGCCUGCACUGACGCUCAUGCACGAAAGCGUGGGGAGCAAACAGGAUUAGAUACCCUUGUAGUCC
RNAcentral lists this ribosomal RNA (450 nucleotides) under uncultured bacterium. RNAcentral describes it as "partial 16S ribosomal RNA". It matches the Rfam family "Bacterial small subunit ribosomal RNA", at positions 354 to 796 of the family's 1533-position model. The record is from RNAcentral.